CAAUUCUCUUCUGCCCUCCCCGUCUCAUGAAGCCGCUGGUAGUGUUCGUCCUCGGCGGCCCCGGCGCCGGCAAGGGGACCCAGUGCGCCCGCAUUGUCAAGAAAUAUGGCUACACACACCUUUCUGCAGGAGAGCUGCUUCAUGAUGAAAGGAAGAACCCAGAUUCACAGUAUGGUGAACUUAUUGAAAAGUACAUUAAAGAAGGAAAGAUUGUACCAGUUGAGAUAACCAUCAGUUUAUUAAAGAGGGAAAUGGAUCAGACAAUGGCUGCCAAUGCUCAGAAGGAUAAAUUCUUGAUUGAUGGGUUUCCAAGAAAUCAAGACAACCUUCAAGGUUGGAACAAGACCAUGGAUGGGAAGGCAGAUGUAUCUUUCGUUCUGUUUUUUGACUGUAAUAAUGAGAUCUGUAUUGAACGAUGUCUUGAGAGGGGAAAGAGUAGUGGUAGGAGUGAUGACAACAGAGAGAGCUUGGAAAAGAGAAUUCAGACAUACCUUCAGUCAACAAAGCCAAUUAUUGACUUAUAUGAAGAAAUGGGGAAAGUCAAGAAAAUAGAUGCUUCUGAAUCUGUUGAUGAAGUUUUUGAUGAAGUUAUGCAGAUUUUUGACAAGGAAGGCUAAUUCUAAACCUGAAAGCAUCCUUGAAAUCAUGCUUGAAUAUUGCUUUGAUAGCUGCUAUCAUGACCCCUUUUUAAGGCAAUUUUAAUCUUUCACAACUACAUCUCAAUUAGUGGCUGGAAAGUACAUGGUAAAACAAAGUUAAUUUUUUAUGUUCUCUUUUUUGGUCACAGGAGUAGACAGUGAAUUCAGGUUUAACUUCAUCUUAGUUAUGGUGCUCACUAAACAAGGGUAUCAGCUAGUUUUUUUUUUUAAUUCAAAAAGAAUAUCCCUUUUAUAGUUUGUGCCUUCUGUGAGCAAAACUUUUUAGUACGCAUAUAUAUCCCUUUAGUAAUCACAACAUGUUAGGAUUUAGGGAUACCCGCUUCCUCUUUUUCUUGCAAGUUUUAAAUUUCUAACCUUAAGUGAAUUUGUGGAGCAAAUUUCAAAAGAACUUUUUGUGUAGUCAGUUCUUGCACAAUGUGUUUGGUAAACAAACUCAAAAUGGAUUCUUAGCAGUGUUUUAAUAUUUAUCAAAUAACUGACCAUUUACUAUAGAAAGGUGAAAAAACUUAAGCUUUGUUUUACUACAACUUGUACAAAGUUGUAUGACAGGGCAUAUUCUUUGCUUCUGAGAUUUGGGUUGGGGGCACUAGGGGUUCAGAGCCUGACAGAAUUGUCAGCUUUAUUCUGACAUAAUCUAAGGGUAUGGGGCAAGGAUCACAUCUAAUGCUCAUGUUCCUUAUACUCUGUUAUAUAGUAUUAUUCAUGAUUC
Molecule: RNA transcript, 1368 nt
Organism: Cercocebus atys (sooty mangabey)
Lineage: Eukaryota; Metazoa; Chordata; Mammalia; Primates; Cercopithecidae
Gene name: UMP-CMP kinase pseudogene
Exons: 1
Source: RefSeq, a predicted model, not a curated record